This 481-nucleotide ribosomal RNA is filed under the name uncultured bacterium. RNAcentral describes it as "partial 16S ribosomal RNA". It matches the Rfam family "Bacterial small subunit ribosomal RNA", at positions 28 to 507 of the family's 1533-position model. The record is from RNAcentral.
GACGAACGUUGGCGGCGUGCUUAAUACAUGCAAGUCAACUGAAGCAGUGGUAGCAAUAUCGCUGUGGAGGUGGCGCACGGGUGAGUAACACGUAGGUAAUCUGCCUUCAGGUCUGGCAUAACUCCGGGAAACCGGGGCUAAUAGCAGAUGAUGCAGCGGCUCGACAUCGAGACAGUUGUUAAAGCUAUGGCGCCUGAAGAUGAGCCUGCGUCUGAUUAGCUAGUUGGCGGGGUAACGGCCCACCAAGGCAACGAUCAGUAGCUGGUCUGAGAGGAUGAUCAGCCACACUGGAACUGAGACACGUUCCAGACUCCUACGGGAGGCAGCAGUAAGGAAUAUUGCUCAAUGGGAGAAAUCCUGAAGCAGCAACGCCGCGUGAGGGACGAAGGGCUUUUGCUUGUAAACCUCUGUAGUGAGAGAAAAAAAUCCCAAUCUUUGGGACAUGAUGGUAUCUCAAAAGUAAGCCCCGGCUAACUACGUG